Molecule: ribosomal RNA, 309 nt
Filed under: Glomus sp. (unid)
Lineage: Eukaryota; Fungi; Glomeromycota; Glomeromycetes; Glomerales; Glomeraceae
Source: RNAcentral
CAGUCGUACCGGCGGAAAAUCAGCUCUUCGAGUGCGAACUUGUGGGCGUACGUGAGCUUUAACCGGCCUCGUUGUUCGCGAUGUUUGUGCUUUUUUGGGUGUUACUUUUUCGUAUGGUAGGCCAACGUCAGUCUCGGUCACCAUAAAAUGAUUAGAGGAAUGUAGCUUCGAUCUUGUAUUGAAGUGUUAUAGCCUCUGGUAGAUGUGGUGAACGAAACUGAGGAUUGCAACGAAUACCCGUCCGGCUAUCCGUCUGGCCUCUGAAAGUUGCUUAGGUGCCGGAAAGCGUGCUUACGGCUAUUUAAGUUG